CGAGUUAUCUGAACCUUCGGGGAACGAUAACGGCGUCGAGCGGCGGACGGGUGAGUAAUGCCUAGGAAAUUGCCCUGAUGUGGGGGAUAACCAUUGGAAACGAUGGCUAAUACCGCAUAAUGCCUACGGGCCAAAGAGGGGGACCUUCGGGCCUCUCGCGUCAGGAUAUGCCUAGGUGGGAUUAGCUAGUUGGUGAGGUAAUGGCUCACCAAGGCGACGAUCCCUAGCUGGUCUGAGAGGAUGAUCAGCCACACUGGAACUGAGACACGGUCCAGACUCCUACGGGAGGCAGCAGUGGGGAAUAUUGCACAAUGGGCGCAAGCCUGAUGCAGCCAUGCCGCGUGUGUGAAGAAGGCCUUCGGGUUGUAAAGCACUUUCAGUCGUGAGGAAGGUGGUGUAGUUAAUAGCUGCAUUAUUUGACGUUAGCGACAGAAGAAGCACCGGCUAACUCCGUGCCAGCAGCCGCGGUAAUACGGAGGGUGCGAGCGUUAAUCGGAAUUACUGGGCGUAAAGCGCAUGCAGGUGGUUUGUUAAGUCAGAUGUGAAAGCCCGGGGCUCAACCUCGGAAUAGCAUUUGAAACUGGCAGACUAGAGUACUGUAGAGGGGGGUAGAAUUUCAGGUGUAGCGGUGAAAUGCGUAGAGAUCUGAAGGAAUACCGGUGGCGAAGGCGGCCCCCUGGACAGAUACUGACACUCAGAUGCGAAAGCGUGGGGAGCAAACAGGAUUAGAUACCCUGGUAGUCCACGCCGUAAACGAUGUCUACUUGGAGGUUGUGGCCUUGAGCCGUGGCUUUCGGAGCUAACGCGUUAAGUAGACCGCCUGGGGAGUACGGUCGCAAGAUUAAAACUCAAAUGAAUUGACGGGGGCCCGCACAAGCGGUGGAGCAUGUGGUUUAAUUCGAUGCAACGCGAAGAACCUUACCUACUCUUGACAUCCAGAGAACUUUCCAGAGAUGGAUUGGUGCCUUCGGGAACUCUGAGACAGGUGCUGCAUGGCUGUCGUCAGCUCGUGUUGUGAAAUGUUGGGUUAAGUCCCGCAACGAGCGCAACCCUUAUCCUUGUUUGCCAGCGAGUAAUGUCGGGAACUCCAGGGAGACUGCCGGUGAUAAACCGGAGGAAGGUGGGGACGACGUCAAGUCAUCAUGGCCCUUACGAGUAGGGCUACACACGUGCUACAAUGGCGCAUACAGAGGGCAGCAAGCUAGCGAUAGUGAGCGAAUCCCAAAAAGUGCGUCGUAGUCCGGAUUGGAGUCUGCAACUCGACUCCAUGAAGUCGGAAUCGCUAGUAAUCGUGGAUCAGAAUGCCACGGUGAAUACGUUCCCGGGCCUUGUACACACCGCCCGUCACACCAUGGGAGUGGGCUGCAAAAGAAGUAGGUAG
This 1381-nucleotide ribosomal RNA is filed under the name Vibrio sp. 2tb6. RNAcentral describes it as "bacterial SSU rRNA". It matches the Rfam family "Bacterial small subunit ribosomal RNA", at positions 63 to 1433 of the family's 1533-position model. Lineage: Bacteria; Pseudomonadati; Pseudomonadota; Gammaproteobacteria; Vibrionales; Vibrionaceae. The record is from RNAcentral. RNAcentral also lists the same sequence under 3 other names.